This 253-nucleotide ribosomal RNA is filed under the name uncultured bacterium. Its description in RNAcentral is "partial 16S ribosomal RNA". It matches the Rfam family "Bacterial small subunit ribosomal RNA", at positions 524 to 776 of the family's 1533-position model. The record is from RNAcentral.
UACGUAGGGGGCUAGCGUUGUCCGGAUUUAUUGGGCGUAAAGAGCGUGUAGGCGGCCAGAUAGGUCCGUUGUGAAAACUGGAGGCUUAACCUCCAGCUGUCGAUGGAAACCAUCUGGCUAGAGUCCGGAAGAGGAGAGUGGAAUUCCUGGUGUAGCGGUGAAAUGCGCAGAUAUCAGGAGGAACACCCGUGGCGAAAGCGGCUCUCUGGGACGGUACUGACGCUGAGACGCGAAAGCGUGGGGAGCAAACAGG